AUCGCGUCCCGGCCUUUCGAAUAAGGUCAACGUAGUCUCUGUUCUUCCCAACCGUCUGAUCCAUCCUCUAUCCAAGGACAAUCUAUUAAGUGGAUCUUGGGAGCUGGGAGCUGGGAUAGGGGCUUGCUCCGUCCACUCCACGCAUGGAGCUGGUUUUGCAGUACCUCUGGGAAGGUGCACCCCCU
Molecule: small nuclear RNA, 185 nt
Filed under: Dasypus novemcinctus (nine-banded armadillo)
Lineage: Eukaryota; Metazoa; Chordata; Mammalia; Cingulata; Dasypodidae
Description: U2 spliceosomal RNA (ENSDNOG00000030348.1)
Rfam family: U2 spliceosomal RNA
About the family: U2 is a small nuclear RNA (snRNA) component of the spliceosome (involved in pre-mRNA splicing).
Source: RNAcentral